RNAcentral lists this ribosomal RNA (658 nucleotides) under uncultured organism. RNAcentral describes it as "bacterial SSU rRNA". It matches the Rfam family "Bacterial small subunit ribosomal RNA", at positions 1 to 663 of the family's 1533-position model. The record is from RNAcentral.
GGCUUAGAGUUUGAUCAUGGCUCAGGAUGAACGCUGGCGGCGUGCCUAACACAUGCAAGUCGAACGAAGCGCCUUAAGGGAUCCUUCGGGUGACCUUUUGGUGACUGAGUGGCGGACGGGUGAGUAACGCGUGGGUAACCUGCCCUGUACAGGGGGAUAACAGCCAGAAAUGGCUGCUAAUACCGCAUGAGCGCACAUGGGGGCAUCCUCAUGUGUGAAAGACUCCGGUGGUACAGGAUGGGCCCGCGUCUGAUUAGCUGGUUGGCGGGGUAACGGCCCACCAAGGCGACGAUCAGUAGCCGGUCUGAGAGGAUGAACGGCCACAUUGGAACUGAGACACGGUCCAAACUCCUACGGGAGGCAGCAGUGGGGAAUAUUGCACAAUGGGGGAAACCCUGAUGCAGCAACGCCGCGUGAGUGAAGAAGUAUUUCGGUAUGUAAAGCUCUAUCAGCAGGGAAGAUGAUGACGGUACCUGACUAAGAAGCUCCGGCUAAAUACGUGCCAGCAGCCGCGGUAAUACGUAUGGAGCAAGCGUUAUCCGGAUUUACUGGGUGUAAAGGGUGCGUAGGCGGCAGGGCAAGUCAGAUGUGAAAGACCGGGGCUUAACUCCGGGGCUGCAUUUGAAACUGCUUUGCUUGAGUCCGGGAGAGGCAGGCG